Lutra lutra (Eurasian river otter) is the source of this 193-nucleotide small nuclear RNA. RefSeq annotates it as U2 spliceosomal RNA. Lineage: Eukaryota; Metazoa; Chordata; Mammalia; Carnivora; Mustelidae. The transcript has a single exon. The record is from RefSeq and is a predicted model, not a curated record.
GUUUAUUUUUGGCCUUUUGGCUAAAAUCAAGUGUAAUAUCUGUUCCUAUCAGUUUAAUAUAUGACACAUCCUCUAUCUGAGGACAAUAUAUUAAAUGGAUUUUUGGAGCAGGGAGAUGGAAUAGGAGAUUGCUUCUCAUCCACGCCACGCAUCGACCUGGUAUUACAAUAGCUCCAGGAAUGGGGCACUCCCU